GUCCUUUUGGCUGACCGCAUGACUCCAUAUCUCGCUUCGUUGCCGUACUCGUUGUAACUUGAGCAGCACGCGCUUCACGAGCUUACGCCGGUCGCUUCGAGCGGGAGUUGUGAACUAGUUGCGAAACUAAGUUGCGUGCGCUGUGAGGAGUGCUGUUGCAGCGACAGUGCCAGGUUACGUUGCCGCCUUACGACCAAGAGAUAAUUUGCAAAAAGAUUUUGGCUCGGAGUCAUACAAUAAUUUCAACGAGUUCGCCCAAAAAAGUUGAGCCCCGCACCGCACCGGCUUGUUCGCUGACCGCCGAGCCGCUAAUCUCGCUUUUUUCGCGCCCUACCGUCGCCUGCCCAGACCCACACCGGCCGCCGCCGUCAUGCUCGCACAUCAAGCACCGCUCGCCCUCUACUAAAAUCAACCGUCAACAUCGAUACGAACGCGUGUGAUAAUAAUAUUUUAAUACUUGCCUAAAUAAGCUUGCAACGUCGGUGUCUUUAAUUCUAACAUAAAUCUAAGAUUAAUAUUUAGUAAUUAAUAUUCGUUGAACCUCGGAAUAUCGUCGUGGUUUUCCGUGUUCCUUCGCGUGUGUAGUAGUGUUUGUAUUAAAGGGUGCGCCAGCGCCGAAGUGGUCGCAGAAUCAACUCGCCGCGCGAAAGUGAGAAGUGCAUGCUCGGAGCGCGCGGGCGCGCUCGCUCCCCUCUGCAUAUGCGCCGCACUCGCUCUAAGUAAUUGUGCGCGCUACUCCUACUCCCCCCAACAAAGUGGCAACGAUGGCAACCAUGGUGAACAUGAAUAGCCUCCUGAAUGGAAAAGACUCACGUUGGCUGCAACUCGAAGUUUGCCGCGAGUUCCAACGUAAUAAGUGCUCGCGUCCCGACACCGAGUGCAAGUUCGCACAUCCUCCGGCAACCGUUGAAGUACAGAAUGGAAGGGUCACCGCUUGUUACGACAGUAUCAAGGGCCGGUGUAACCGCGAGAAGCCACCCUGCAAGUAUUUCCACCCGCCGCAGCAUCUUAAAGAUCAGCUUCUCAUUAACGGUCGGAAUCACCUAGCACUAAAGAACGCCUUAAUGCAGCAGAUGGGAUUGACGCCAGGCCAGGUGCUCCCUGGCCAAGUUCCAACCGUGGUGGGCGGCGUGAGCGGAGCGGGAGCGGCUGCGAGCCACCUCGCCGCGCUGGAUCCGAUCAGUCUCGCCCUGCUCGCUCCGCAGGCAACGUCGCCGUACUUAUCGGGUGUGCCAGGCGUAGGGUCGACGUAUGCCCAGUAUUAUGCGCCUCAGUUGGUGCCCGCGGUGCUUGGGCAUGAUCCGGCCGCAGCGGCGGCCUCGCCGCUGGGCGUCAUGCAGCAACCUGUGCUGCAGCAGAAAUUGCCGCGCACUGACCGUCUUGAGACGGCCGCCGCAUCGCAGCAGUCGGCAGCGAGCGCGACUUCGGAGCCGGGCAAGAAACGUCCGGCGCCCGCCGAGCUCGAGCCGCCACCGAUGGACAUGAAAAGCGUCGGAUCCUUCUAUUACGAUAACUUCGCCUUUCCCGGAGUGGUGCCGUAUAAGCGACCUGCCGCAGACAAAGCCGGAGUUCCCGUGUAUCAGCCGGCGACUACGUAUCAACAACUGAUGCAGCUUCAGCAGCCAUUCGUGCCCGUGUCAUGUGAGUACCCCGCGCCCGCCUCGUCCGCCCCGCCGGCCGCGGUUACGGCGGUGUCGGGUGCCACGAGUGUUUCCCAGCCCGCGCCGCCCCCACAGCCCGCGCCACCGCCCGCGCAACAAGUACAGUCCGCUCCCGUGCAGUCCGCGUCGCCGCCCGCCCCUAGCGGUGACGCUUCUGCGCCCGAUCCCGCCGCCGUGGCGAAGGAAGUCGCGCACAAGAACUAUGCAGCCGCUCUCGCGCUCGCUGCGCAGCAGUCCGCCAUGGCUCAUGCGGCUGCAGCCUACACGCAGCAAGCAUUCAAGGCCCGCGCCGCUAUGCCGGGGCUCAUGCGCGCUCCACUGAUGAUGAGGCCGGGCUGGCCCGGGCCGCCCAUGCACAUGCCUGCCUUCUACCAGCAGCCGUACAUGUACGCGAUGCCGCCGCCCACGCCGCCGUCGGCGGCCGCGGCGGCUGCGGCUGCGGCUGCCGCGGUUAAUCCCUACAAAAAAAUGAAGACGACCUAAGAGAGUGCGCGGGCGGGCCGCGGCCGGAGGGGCGCGGGGCGCGGGGUCUCCGCGUAGAGACUCGUACGUGUGCGAUCGAGUGUGGCCCCGGCCUGUCGGGGUAUUAGCGCUAGGCGUGUUGUCACAUUUGUAUUGUAUUAUUGUAAGGACGAAGCGAACGGUUUCCGUCUCGCGGAUGUCUAGGUAGUUUUACGCUAUAAUAUCUAUUCUAUUAUGUAUCUACUCACUUACCGUUUUAUCUUAUGCGUGUAUAUUUCUCGUAUCUACGAUCCCGGUAAUAAUAACGCUUGAAAUGCAUGACUGUACGUUUUUUAUUACCUCUUGUCGAUCGUCGUUUAUCGUGAGUAUCGUCGUACUGAGAGUUAAGCGCUUGGUCCGUCGAUCCCGUUUCCCGCUACGUACACGCUUGUUCUCGGAGGAGCUCCGCACGGGUGCGCUUUGGCCAUUGUGUCGACCCAGUACCUAGUGGUUACCGGCUUGCAGCAGCGAGCCCGCACCUAACACAGCCGCCUUCUAAUUUUCGCAUGGAUAGAACCCACUACCCCUAUAUACGUUUGGCUCAUCAGGUAUUAUACUCAUUAUUCUAGUGCUCCUUGUGUGUGCUAAGUGUGCCGGCGUGUUCAUCAUUAGAGCUGCGGAGCUGACGAGCGUCGCUCUCGCGUUUUCUUUUAAGUCGCACUUCUUUCUAUUUAUUUUUAACGCUUUCUGUUACAUGCCUUCCGAAUGACCGCUUCGGCUGUCGUCCGCAUUGCAAUCUUUUGUCGCUUUUUGUUUCGACCCGGACAGGCUGUGCGCCGCCCAACGCUCCCUAUGUGGAGUACACGGACGAGCGCGGACAGGUAACGAGUGCCGCGUGCCGCACGCUUGCCCGCAAACGCUACGCUAGAACGCCACCCGUAAACCCGAGCGAUUUUUGAGCAUGUCGCUUAUUAACCCUAAUUUACUCCUGAAACUGUAAAGUCAGCACUCCUGUAGGUUUUUCGGCGGCUUUUCUGCACUCCUGCUCUUUCGAUCACGGGCUCAAGUGUGUUCGCUCUAACCAAACUCGCAUAUCACCUCUACCUGCUCCUUUGCCUUAACCUUUACUUUUGUCAGUCGAAAACAUUUUACAUCAAGAAAUUCAUACAAGCCAUAUGAAAUCAGAAAUUUAUAAUUAUAUCGAACUAAUUGAUCGAAAAUCGCAAUUAACGAUAACAUAAUUCUAUUUAAUUUGCAAAUAUAUUCAACACUUCCUAUGAGCUUGCUUCGUAAGUUCGCUUCUGUAGUAACAUUUAGUUAUGCUUUAGGUGAUUAAAAGUAGACUAAGCGCUUAAUGAUAGCGAACUAAACAUCAUGCCGUCCUGUUAUUUGGGCCACUGUAACGAGGUCGAGGUACGCUUGGUAAAGCUUCGUGUCGACCUGACACAAUCGCUGUGCGAAGGACACAAAAAUACAUUGAAAGAAUCUUCCUGUAUCGCUUGGCGGCCGGUGGGAACGUGUUUUUAUUCGAAAGCUACCCUUACAUAACCGCCAAACUUUUCGUAAUAAUUAAGACACAGAGUAUUUGGAACUUUCUGUGCUAAUAAUUAACGACACAUCUGAACUGAUGGCGUAGCUUGUGAAGCAGAGCAUACGUAUGAAUGUCAUCGUCACAUCCAUCAUUUAGUCAUUGUGCUGUAACUGUAUCAGUUAUAUUGUAUUGAACAGUUGAUGCUACAACUUACCUCUUGAUGAUUUUUAGUUUUUGUAUAGUGAAACAUACUUGCUUUCAAAUGUGGAAGAAGUCACUCUACAGUAUUGCCUUGCUUACACCCGGUAAGAUAUAAUCAGCUUACUUUAAUAUCCUCAAUAUAAGUGAUUUCCUGUUUGUAGCCUAUACUGAAACACCGUGUUUAUGGUGACAUGGACCUAUACAAACUUAUUAAAUAAUAAAAGCAAUUAAUUCAAUUUGCGAUUAAUAUAACAAAAAUUUGAGAUUAAUAUAAUAAAAUUUGCACAACUGCGGUUAUUUCAGUAAAGGUAAUAUUUUAUUAAUAAAUACAUAACGAAGCCAGAUAUUUAUUUUCUACCAAUGAGUUGGCGACAUAUGUAGUAUUUGCUAGUUUGUAAUUACCUGGCUAUAAUUAAAUGUAUACCUGACUACGAUGAAGUCGAAACAACGUCAACUCAUUGACAGAAGGUCACCUCCGCCAGAGUCAACUAUCAACUGCAAAAGGGGGUUAUUUUUCACUAAUAUCAAGCUAAUUGCUUAUAAGUAAAUGUAAUUUAAUGCGUAGUUGGUAAUUGAAAUGAAGGUGGUGAGAUAAGAGGACUCAAAGUGAGGCCCUUGGUUAUUUAACAUCAACGUAAUGAGCGUCCGUCUGAAGACGCAAUUUAUAUAUUUUCCUUUGUGCUCGGCCCAAUUAACCACUUUGAGUUUUCUUAUUCAAUGCUUAAAGUGCUUCGCCGUUGCGGCUUCAGUUCCUCGCUUAAGACUUGUUGAAGCCUCUCUGAUGCUUACUUGAAGUACUCACCGUAGACGUAAUUAAUAUACUUGGUUUUCUUUUGUUUGUCGUACAGUAACCGCACUCUCUAAUGGUCAUUAUGUUGCAGUUUGUACUACCACUAACAUGUCACGUCCAGAACUGUCAUGUAAGCUAAAGGUAUAAAUUUAAUUUGUCUUUUUACAUAUAACCAUGCCUACCUAUCGUUACCGAUCAGCAUGACCGUCCUCGGUUCCACUACUGAGAACUUGCGAUGGACUCACCACAGCCGACGCAGACACAUUUCGCAAAUAUCCCCACACAGCCUAUUUAAGCUUUUUUUUUAUAGCGACCGUUGGUUUUUAUGGGUACACUUUGGACGCUAAAGAACCUAUAGAACGCCCUCGCCCUGGUACAAAUUGUCUAGCAUCAUGCUUUAGCUUUUUUGUAAAAUAUAGUCACGCUUAAAUAAGAUUGGCUGCGCAAUAAUGAUUAUAUUUCAAGCGUUCUGCAUGCCAUUUAGAUAUUAUAUAUUCAUACCUACUUGCAUAGUGCAGCGUACUUUAACACUACUCUGACGGUUACGGAACUUAUUUACAACAAGCCAACGCCUCCGGGCUCGUAGUGUAUUACCUGUGUACAGCUCUUUACGAUAACGGAUACUACAAUAUAAAAGUGACACACUGUCAACGCGCCACUUGAUCAAAGAAUGCUUGGAAGGUACAAUCAUAUUGUGCAACAAAUCUUGUAAGGUUAUUGUAAUAUUAAAGCAGCAACAAGAUUUGAUUUCGAGCAAUUUCGCCUUCCGUGUGUCUUAUUUUUGUUAUUUAAAUAAUACCGUAGCGAUUGAGAAACUACACACGCAUUUGUUUAAUUCACUAGAGGGUCAAUAUGAAUACAAUAUGGUAUAGUUACAUAUCAAAUAUCAAUAGGUAGAUCUCGGUACCUUUGCUCUUUGAUAUUACAAAAACUACUUCGGCGUUUUUUUCAGACGGCUGUGCAAUGAGGAUACUUUUCAGUGUCAGAUGUAUGAAUGUUCAUAAAGUGAUAGAGUUAGCAUUAACACUAUUAACAUAAAUAAAAUUCAUAAACCGUCAGAUAUUUCACAUAUAUUACUCUACAGACAAUUGUAGUGUUUUCAAAUAUACUUCUUUAAAUUAUUUCAAAUAUUUUUGACUGUUUAUGAAGUAGACGAUUUAGUUGUUGUCAUUCAAACAGUUUUUGCACAAUAUUAGAUAAACGGAAUAUAAGUAAAUUGCCUUCAGAGGACUUUCAUAUGACAUCAAAAUUGAAUUUAAAGAAUAGUAAGUACACUAUUACUGACAUAGCAAUUGUCUCAUUAUUACAAUAAUGAAGCUAACGAAAAUAGUUCCUUGAUAAAUGGCUGUUUAAACUUAGUUUUACAAACUGAAAACAUAAUACUACAAGGACGUAGUCAAUUCGUACGAAUAUUGUCGCAAAACUGUUCGAAUGUACACGUAACCACAAAUAAAUACUUAUGAAUUAUUUUUACACUUUUCAGUUACUGGACACCCUCCCGGUGUGCCAAGAUUUUAAUCGACAAGGAUGUACGAGACCUACCUGCAGAUUCGUUCAUAUUCGUGAAGGGUGCGGGCUGCAGGUGGUGGGGUGCCGCGUGGUGGUGUGCCGCGACGCCGCCGCUGGCACGUGCCGCCGCGCCGCUUGCCGCUAUUACCACAUCCCCGUGCAGCUGCCGCCCGCGCUGCGCCCCCCCUAACAUGCCCCCACCCGCACGCCGCCCUUCUCCCUCCCACGCCCUCACCCCACACCCAUUCCCACACCGCACGUCGCCCGCGCCCCUCGUUAUCCAUAUCGAUCGCGCCUCUGACACACUCGGGAAAGGCAGGUUUCUAUCGGCUGGCACUGUCGCUCCCGCGGCGGAGGUGAUGAUAUUAAGUGAGUUCGGUUAGUGCGAGCGGCGGAGGUGAGCCGCGUUGUCGGCGCGCCUCCGCCGCUCGCUCGUGUUUGACUUCGGGAAAGAGUGUGUACAUAAGUAGCGGGAUAUGAUUCUCAGGCACGGUCAUGCGAUUGUGAUAUGAAUAGAAUUCGAGACGCCGGAGCCGUUUGAAUGAUUUAUCGAGGUCGUACCGAGAUCGUCGAAUAGUAGUUAGUGAGGUUUCAAAUGUUUUAUUACUAUUGUAUAUUAUUUUUUUAAGAUACGAUAUGAGUUCCUGUAAAGAUCGACGCGGCCGCCUGUCGGGUCGUGUGAGAUUUGUUGUAUAUAAGCGAGGUAAUGUUCAGCUUCUGCCGAAGGCCGAGGCCGGAGUCAAAAGUUGCACCACCCCACUCCUACUGUGAGCAUUUUUGUGAGAAUUAUGUUAUUUUUUUAUUAUGUUGUAAAAUUAUGUUUUUAUAGAUGACAAGUUUUACACUAGAGUAGAUUAAGAUGAUCGAUAAUGAAACACCAAUAGUGUAGCCGCUUCUCUCCUUCGGCACUGAUACUUUUGACGCCGGAGCACAAUACGCGUUGUGGAGCGCCUCGUCCGCUCGGUUGUCGUUCCGUGCCGCGUCCUCCUACCCCCACUUAGAAUAGAUCACGACACUCGUAGAGUGAUAGUGGACUAACAAAUCGAAAUACAAUGAACGUUGUCGGACAAUAUUAAAACGAAGAAGGCAUACUUCCAUGCUAUUUACCUAAAUUAUAGGAUAGAACGUUGGCUUUUAUUCCAGAUAGAUUUUGCUAGAUAAUCAUUAUUUUCCCGAUCGAUCCCUGUCUAUCGAAGCACAAAUAGCGACCGACGAUCGAGUCCGAUCGACCCGUCAACUAGUCCAGAUAACAGAAAUAGCUCCCCUGUAUUGUUUUCGACAUGAACAGUAUUAACUUUUGAUCAAAUUUAUCUCGUCGUAUGUAUGUAGAGGUGAUAUGCGGAUAGAGGCAGGGGAGGCGCGCCGCGCGGGCCCGCCCGGCCGGCGCCGGCGCGCGCGGUGGCCGCCGGCGCCGUCCGGUCGCGGCGCGCGCGGCCGCUCUCUCGGGGCGAGGAAGCCCGAUGCCUGAUAUUAUUCCUAGUCCAUAUCCUUUUUGUUGAUCAGUCAUGCGAUUAAUGUUAGAAUAAAAAUAUUAAUAAUUUGAUUUAUUCCUCCCAUUUAGUGGAUAUUUUGAUAAUGAUAUAUUAAUAAUGAAAUAUUUAAGAUACAUAAUACAUAUUUGAUUCUAAAUCCUGAUAAAGUGACACUACAUUAGUAAUUUAGUCGGAGGGAUACUUGUGCCGUGAUUAUAUUUUUAGGUAUAUAUUAUGAAAUAAUUCCUAGCGUCGGAAUUAAAGAAGUGAUUAAUGUGUAAGUGCGUUAUAUUUAUUGUCGUAUAUCGUAAGUGAAAUGCCAUAUCGAUAAAAGAUGAAAAGCGGAGGGUGGAGUUAAACUCGUCGGGAAGAGGUUGCGUUUUGUUUGCGUUGGUUGUUAUUAUCGUCCGAGCCGCCGGCUGAAGGACAGUUCGCUUUUAUCAAUACGGCACUAUAUGACUCUUAAAUACAUAAGUUGUCUUUUUGUUUGUGUUAAAAUUUAUCGUUUCAUUGAUUAUUUGUUACCUUUAAUUUUUAUUAUCAAAAUUUUAUGAUCUGACGCAUUUAUUGUAAGACAAUCGAUUACUUUUAUAAUUAAUUAGUGUGAUAAUAAUUAUUAUGGUAUAAAAUUGCCGUUAUAAUAUUGAACAUCGAAAGUAUCCUUCCUCUUUAGAAGGGACUCUUCUGGCCCAAGGUUUCUAGUGGAUUUUAUAUUUUUCUUUUUGUUGUAUUUUUAAUGUUGCGGUGUGUCUUACACAUAAUAUAUUUCAUUUUGUGAUAUUUUUAACUAUAAAGUACUGUUAUUAUAAAUCCAAAUGGAAUAAUGAAGACCUAAUUAAUUAAAUAUUCAAGAAUUUAUUUGUAAAUCACAAAAAAAAAAAUGUAAAACUGUAAAUAUAUUAACAAAAAAAAAAAGUGAACUGCAACACAAUAAUUAUUGAUUAUAAUUAUAUCUCUCAUCAAGUACACUGUAAGUUCUUCGAUAUCUAAAUAAUGGUAUGUUAUUAUGUAGUAGGUACAGUCUACUAAAGGUAAACCGGUCCAGUGAACAAAGUAUUGAUAAUAUUGUGAACAUUUUUUUAUUCGCGAGCAAUCACAGAAAGUACAUGACAUUGUAAUAUUAUUUAUGAAAUUACUAUGUGAUGUGAUCUUCGGAUCAAUUUUGAGUACAGUAUAGAUAAUAAACAACUGAAUAUGUCA
RNA transcript from Nymphalis io (European peacock), 8805 nucleotides. It is a transcript of the gene named muscleblind-like protein, with no coding region annotated. The record is from RefSeq and is a predicted model, not a curated record. The transcript has 11 exons. Lineage: Eukaryota; Metazoa; Arthropoda; Insecta; Lepidoptera; Nymphalidae.